This 1490-nucleotide ribosomal RNA is filed under the name Staphylococcus aureus. RNAcentral describes it as "partial 16S ribosomal RNA". It matches the Rfam family "Bacterial small subunit ribosomal RNA". Lineage: Bacteria; Bacillati; Bacillota; Bacilli; Caryophanales; Staphylococcaceae. The record is from RNAcentral.
AACAGCUCAGGAUGAACGCUGGCGGCGUGCCUAAUACAUGCAAGUCGAGCGAACGGACGAGAAGCUUGCUUCUCUGAUGUUAGCGGCGGACGGGUGAGUAACACGUGGAUAACCUACCUAUAAGACUGGGAUAACUUCGGGAAACCGGAGCUAAUACCGGAUAAUAUUUUGAACCGCAUGGUUCAAAAGUGAAAGACGGUCUUGCUGUCACUUAUAGAUGGAUCCGCGCUGCAUUAGCUAGUUGGUAAGGUAACGGCUUACCAAGGCAACGAUGCAUAGCCGACCUGAGAGGGUGAUCGGCCACACUGGAACUGAGACACGGUCCAGACUCCUACGGGAGGCAGCAGUAGGGAAUCUUCCGCAAUGGGCGAAAGCCUGACGGAGCAACGCCGCGUGAGUGAUGAAGGUCUUCGGAUCGUAAAACUCUGUUAUUAGGGAAGAACAUAUGUGUAAGUAACUGUGCACAUCUUGACGGUACCUAAUCAGAAAGCCACGGCUAACUACGUGCCAGCAGCCGCGGUAAUACGUAGGUGGCAAGCGUUAUCCGGAAUUAUUGGGCGUAAAGCGCGCGUAGGCGGUUUUUUAAGUCUGAUGUGAAAGCCCACGGCUCAACCGUGGAGGGUCAUUGGAAACUGGAAAACUUGAGUGCAGAAGAGGAAAGUGGAAUUCCAUGUGUAGCGGUGAAAUGCGCAGAGAUAUGGAGGAACACCAGUGGCGAAGGCGACUUUCUGGUCUGUAACUGACGCUGAUGUGCGAAAGCGUGGGGAUCAAACAGGAUUAGAUACCCUGGUAGUCCACGCCGUAAACGAUGAGUGCUAAGUGUUAGGGGGUUUCCGCCCCUUAGUGCUGCAGCUAACGCAUUAAGCACUCCGCCUGGGGAGUACGACCGCAAGGUUGAAACUCAAAGGAAUUGACGGGGACCCGCACAAGCGGUGGAGCAUGUGGUUUAAUUCGAAGCAACGCGAAGAACCUUACCAAAUCUUGACAUCCUUUGACAACUCUAGAGAUAGAGCUUUCCCCUUCGGGGGACAAAGUGACAGGUGGUGCAUGGUUGUCGUCAGCUCGUGUCGUGAGAUGUUGGGUUAAGUCCCGCAACGAGCGCAACCCUUAAGCUUAGUUGCCAUCAUUAAGUUGGGCACUCUAAGUUGACUGCCGGUGACAAACCGGAGGAAGGUGGGGAUGACGUCAAAUCAUCAUGCCCCUUAUGAUUUGGGCUACACACGUGCUACAAUGGACAAUACAAAGGGCAGCGAAACCGCGAGGUCAAGCAAAUCCCAUAAAGUUGUUCUCAGUUCGGAUUGUAGUCUGCAACUCGACUACAUGAAGCUGGAAUCGCUAGUAAUCGUAGAUCAGCAUGCUACGGUGAAUACGUUCCCGGGUCUUGUACACACCGCCCGUCACACCACGAGAGUUUGUAACACCCGAAGCCGGUGGAGUAACCUUUUAGGAGCUAGCCGUCGAAGGUGGGACAAAUGAUUGGGGUGAACUAG